RNAcentral lists this long non-coding RNA (252 nucleotides) under Ananas comosus (pineapple). RNAcentral's name for it is "long non-coding RNA (ACOM_LNC038033)". Lineage: Eukaryota; Viridiplantae; Streptophyta; Magnoliopsida; Poales; Bromeliaceae. The record is from RNAcentral.
ACAAUCGGAUGAAAAAAAUACGAAAAUCUGGGUCCACCGUCAACCCCGACGGCACCCGACGGUCCAACACAGUCUUACUUUACUGUAAUAACACACUCAGCAACUCAGCGCGAGCAUAAACUCAACCUACACUUAUCUGAGUAUCCACCUCGCACUAACAGCGGUGAUACAGAAAUCUAAGUCCACCGUCAACCCUGACGGCACCCGACAGUCCAAACGUUACUCUACAACAAGCUCGGCCCCUCGGCACGA